UCGAACCCUGCAAGGCAGAACGACCCGUGAACAUGUAACCACAACGGGGUGACCGUGAUAAGGGCCUCGGUCCUUAUCCCCUAACCCUUCCCGACGUGAGUUCGUGGUGUCUUUUUGGGCAUCAUGGAUUCCGUUGGACCAUAACAAAACCCCGGCACGGUAUGUGCCAAGGAAAACAAAAAUGAGAAGGACACUACCUGUUUCGCCCCGUUUGCGGUGUGCGUACAGGUCGUGGCCUCCUUGGAAUCACAAACGACUCUCGGCAACGGAUAUCUCGGCUCACGCAUCGAUGAAGAACGUAGCAAAAUGCGAUACUUGGUGUGAAUUGCAGAAUCCCGUGAACCAUCGAGUUUUUGAACGCAAGUUGCGCCCGAAGCCAUCCGGCUGAGGGCACGCCUGCCUGGGCGUCACGCAUCGCGUCGCUCCCCACCAUACCUCCCCAACGGGUUGGCAUGGUGUUGGGGGCGGAUAAUGGCCUCCCGUGCUUGUGUUUCGGUUGGCCUAAAUAAGAGUUCCCUUCGGCGGACACACGACUAGUGGUGGUUGAAUAGACCCUCGUCUUUUGUUGCGUGUCGUGAGCUGUAAGGGUAGCCCUCAUCAAAGACCCCAUUGUAUCGUCUUCGGAUGAUGCUUCGAC
This 637-nucleotide small RNA is filed under the name Lactuca serriola (prickly lettuce). RNAcentral's name for it is "eukaryotic LSU rRNA". The stretch from base 255 to 410 matches the Rfam family "5.8S ribosomal RNA". The record is from RNAcentral. Lineage: Eukaryota; Viridiplantae; Streptophyta; Magnoliopsida; Asterales; Asteraceae.